Molecule: long non-coding RNA, 718 nt
Filed under: Panax ginseng (ginseng)
Lineage: Eukaryota; Viridiplantae; Streptophyta; Magnoliopsida; Apiales; Araliaceae
Description: long non-coding RNA (PGIN_LNC001382)
Source: RNAcentral
AUUCGUACAAUUUGUUCACACGGUGUUGGAUGGUUGCCGACCAGUAGGUCUUAGUAGGCGGUGCUUCGGUGCCGUCGAAAGGUCCGAAAGACGGUGGCUUUCGUCAUCGUGUUGGCUUGAUGGAAAUGCGCGCACCCGGUUGAGGGCCUUUCUUGACAUUUUGUUGACAUGAUGAUGCAAGAUGGUUGUCGGCAAGUAGGUCUCAGUAGGUGGUGCUUUAAGAGCUGCUGAAAGGUUCGAACGUUGGUGGUCUAUGUUGAUGUGUCGGCUUAAUGGAAAGAUGGGCGGGCGUUCCAAAAAAUGAUUUUGUUUCCAAUUGGCCCUCGGUUGGGUGCACGUUCGUACAAUUUGUUGACACGGUGUUGGAUGGCUGCCGACCAGUAGGUCUUAGUAGGCGGUGCUUCGGUGCCGUCGAAAGGUCCGAAAGACGGUUGCUUUUCGUCAUCGUGUUGCCUUGAUGGAAAUGCGAGCACCCGGUUGAGGGCCCUUCUUGACAUUUUGUUGACAUGAUAUGACGCAAGAUGGUUGUCGGCAAGUAGUUCUCAGUAGGUGGUGCUUUGAGUGAUGCUGAAAGGUCUGAACGUUGGUGGCCUAUGCUGAUGUGUCGGCUUAAUGGAAAGAUGGCCCUCGGUUGGGUGCACGUUCGUACAAUUUGUUCACACGGUGUUGGAUGGUUGCCGACCAGUAGGUCUUAGUAGGCGGUGCUUCGGUGCNNNNN